GGCAACAUAGCCAAAAAGGAAAGGCAAAGGUCUGCAAAACCUUGACUCCCGGUUCGAAUCCGGGUGUUGCCUCCA
This 75-nucleotide transfer RNA is filed under the name Siminovitchia thermophila. Its description in RNAcentral is "tRNA-Cys". It matches the Rfam family "tRNA". From Rfam's summary of the family: Transfer RNA (tRNA) molecules are approximately 80 nucleotides in length. The record is from RNAcentral. Lineage: Bacteria; Bacillati; Bacillota; Bacilli; Caryophanales; Bacillaceae.